GACGAACGCUGGCGGCGUGCCUAAUACAUGCAAGUAGAACGCUGAAGGAGGAGCUUGCUUCUCUGGAUGAGUUGCGAACGGGUGAGUAACGCGUAGGUAACCUGCCUGGUAGCGGGGGAUAACUAUUGGAAACGAUAGCUAAUACCGCAUAAGAGUAGAUGUUGCAUGACAUUUGCUUGAAAGGUGCAAUUGCUUCACUACCAGAUGGACCUGCGUUGUAUUAGCUAGUUGGUGGGGUAACGGCUUACCAAGGCGACGAUACAUAGCCGACCUGAGAGGGUGAUCAGCCACACUGGGACUGAGACACGGCCCAGACACCUACGGGAGGCAGCAGUAGGGAAUCUUCGGCAAUGGACGGAAGUCGGACCGAGCAAAGCCGCGGGAGUGAAGAAGGUUAGCGGAUCGUAAAGCUCGGUUGUAAGAGAAGAACGAGAGUGAGAGUGGAAAGUUCACACUGUGACGGUAUCUUACCAGAAAGCGACGGCUAACUACGUG
RNAcentral lists this ribosomal RNA (495 nucleotides) under uncultured bacterium. RNAcentral describes it as "partial 16S ribosomal RNA". It matches the Rfam family "Bacterial small subunit ribosomal RNA", at positions 28 to 507 of the family's 1533-position model. The record is from RNAcentral.